Molecule: non-coding RNA, 1105 nt
Organism: Ictidomys tridecemlineatus (thirteen-lined ground squirrel)
Lineage: Eukaryota; Metazoa; Chordata; Mammalia; Rodentia; Sciuridae
Source: RefSeq, a predicted model, not a curated record
UGAUAUGUCAAAAUACAUUCUGCUGUCAUGUAUAACUAAAAAAAACAAAUGAAAAAAAUAAUUUAAAAUAACAGCCAUUGAGCACUCACCAUAUGCCACCACACUGUUCUAACAUUUUCCUUUACCACAUUAUCUUAUUUCACUUCCAGAACCCAGUAAAAUAAUGUUAUUAUCCCCAUUUCAGAGGGAAAGAAAACCAAAGCACAGAGAGGUUAUGUAACCAAGGUCGCUCAGCUACUCAGCAGUGGGGCUAGGAUAAGAACUCAGGCAGGCUGAGCUCAGGGGGACCCCAGGGAUGGAAUUCUGGCACCCUCUACAUUUCCAUUGGAUUUUGGUUCAUUCUUCUCCAAAAGUAAAACAUGCACACACACUAAGAAGUCAGCUUCCCCGAAAUGCUGCAGGUAUCUAACUAACCACUUCUUUUCUUCUCUCUUUAGAAAACUUAAUAGAUCAUUGCGUCCAUUUGGGGACUUCCUAGAAAUAACUGGAGACUGGGCACUGCCCCCUUCCCUCUGGGUCCUAGGCCCAUUGCUGCCCCAGGUUAGAAUGGAGGGACUCUGUCUUGGGAAUGUGUGUUGUCCCCCGGACAUGCUGCCAUAUUGUGAGGAAGCUAAAGCUACAUGGAAAGGCCACAUACUGACAUUCUGGUCACAAGGCCCACCCAACAGCCUGUACAAACCACCAGAUGCAUACGAGAUGCGUCAGAUGAUUCAAAUGAUUCCAGCCCCUAGAAGUUGAGCCAACUUCUGCUUUGGAACCUUCUAGCAGAGGCCCAAGCAUCAUGGAACAGAGAAAAGAGGAAGAACAUCAAGAAUGGAGGUUCUGGCAGCUGUCAAACCUCAGAUGCAGGAAAGAUCUGGAGUGGCCAAAGAUGUUCUGAAGAUCUGAUGGUGAAGCUGGGGAAAGCCCCACUUCUGGACCCCCCUGCCCUGUACCCUCCCUGGACAGGAAAAUUGAAGAACCUCAAGGCUGAAAAUGCCGGGUUCCAGGCACCUUUUCAGACCCUCAAAAUUCUCAGAAGAGAAAAGGAGGAAGGACGAGAGCCCAAGUAUUGCUCCUUGCUACCCAGAAAGGUCAAGAGAAAGAAGGCCUGGCUCUCCCUAAC